Papaver somniferum (opium poppy) is the source of this 3799-nucleotide long non-coding RNA. RefSeq lists it as uncharacterized. The record is from RefSeq and is a predicted model, not a curated record. The transcript is spliced from 15 exons. Lineage: Eukaryota; Viridiplantae; Streptophyta; Magnoliopsida; Ranunculales; Papaveraceae.
GAUGUGAUGCAUCAGAGUGACAUCACAGACAGCUAUAAGCCUAUAAGACAUCAAAUUGCAGUAAACCCAUGCGGGGUUUUUCCUCUCUUACAAAAAUAAAUAAAUAAAGUAAAAUAAGAGUUUGGUCCUGGCGCCGGAACCAGUAACGGAAUCGUUUCAUAUUCAAUAUCGUCGUCAAUACAAACAGAGAAGAAGUUUUUUAGCUGCUUGUGGUUCGACUCCAAUUGAACAUUACAGCAAUAUCUCACAGGCCUUAUAAGUAGUUGGCUGUGAAGAGUAUUAGGUGCAAAGCUGGAUUAAGAGUGGCUUAAGAGAUUUAUCAAUUUCACUGCGUCUUGUGGAUGGUUGAGCAUGGGGAGAGUUUUGGUCUUUCCCAAUUCCUGUGGAUAUUUGCAUAGGCACGUACCAUGUGCCUGUAGUUUAGGCUCAUUUUUCAGUGCGCUACUCAGAUACGUACUGGCAUUAUCACAAGAACAAGAAAAACCCACUUUGGCACAUGCAAUUUCUUUAAGUUGGCCUGUUUCAUUGCACUUAAUUGCCUAGGAUAUCUUGCGAUCUUUUUGGCCUGCUAUGUUGAUAUCUGCUGGACUAAGCCUGCAAAAGAUGAUUUUCAUCCAUGGUUUCCUAACAAAGUUUCAAAGAACCUGUGAGGACCGUAACAAAGAUUUGAAGAUCUUUGUCUUUGAUGUUGAACAGAAAUGAACGAGCACAGAUGCUUUUGUAGACCUUGCCCCAAUUCAGAAGAUGGCGGAGAAGUUUAUAUUUUAUGGAUAUUAUUCUAGUGCUGCUGAUGCCAUUGCUCAAAUAUUUCAGAUGGAGAUGUUGAGUAGAUCCUUGGAACAACCACAGAUGAUAAAGCCAGCAACCGAGAAGCCUUCCCUCAGCACCUGAAAUCUUGUACAGCAUCGAAACUGUGAAGGCCGCUACCGCUGGCACAGAUUUAACAUAUCUGCCAACCCGGAGAUGUAUAUGGAGGAGAGGCGCAAGUGUGAUCAAGCAAGACUUGCUCGUAAUUUAAAGCUAAGAAAUAAGAAGAGACUGUUAACUGGGUAAAAUCCUUGAACAGAUAUGCUUCGGAAAAACAACCUGGGACAGAAGAUGUGUCAAAAGUAAAAAGAAAUCCGGGAAGCUCCAGCAAAAGGGUGGUGAUGCUAAAACAAGACCUGUUCGCGGAAAGUUGAGAAUGGAAAAACAAAACCGGGUUAUAAAGUUAACUGACGUCAAAUUAAUCUAGCUCAUUGUAUUGGUACCCUUGAACUCAUGUUAACGGGUUUUUGUAUGCAACCUACACUUCCAGUUUCCAUCUGCAUUGCAUGUUCAAGUAAAUAAAUGGUGCUUUCUUCCAACUUGCAAAGAAUAAGAGUCCGUCCCUCUUGCACUUCCGCUUGGACACAUAAAUAAAUAUUGGAAAAAAAGAGACGAAUGAUGUCCUAUUCAAUUUGUUGAUGACCCUUGAUUCAGGUAAGGUUGAGAAAGCAGAAGAAACUUGAGGACUGCAUCAGGGAUUUAAAGAUCUUUGUCUUGGAUUUGUAGACCUUGGCCCAAUUCAGAAGAUGGUGGAGAAGGAUAUAUUUUACGGGUAUAUUCUAGUGCUGCUGAUGCGAUUGCUCGAUUUCAGUGAGCCAUGGCUUGUGGAAUGUAGGGAAGAAACUUACUUAAUAACAGGAAAAGUACAUGGAGAAGAUAGCUACUGCUGCAGCUGCUUGUGGUUCGACUCCAAUUGAACAUUACAGCAAUAUCUCACAGGCCUUGUAAGCAGUUGGCUGUGAAGAUUAUUAGGAUGAGAAGGAAUUGCUUCAGAACAAUUGUUGCCCUGUGCACCCAAGGAUAUAACUAGUUCUUUGCCUUGUCGAAAAUAUCAAAAGUCACUGGAGGAGGUUUUAGGACGCAAUCCAGAUUUUGUACAGCCUUCUCACCGUUUGAAGGAGGUGCAGCUGACUUUACUAAUAUACUGAUGAUGAUAUAUCUGAUCAGGUGUCUGCAACCGUUUGAAGGAGGUGCAGCUGACUCACUCAUCAUAAAGUUGGAAAAGAUUGUGCAGAUGGAGAUGAUGAGUAGAUCCUUGGAACAACCACAGACGAUGGAGCCAGCAACCGAGAAGCCUUCCAUCCGCACCUGAAAUCUUGUACAGCAUCGCAACUGUGAAGGCCACUACCGCUGGCACGGGUUUAACAUCUCUGCCAACCCAUAGAUUUGUAUAUGGAGGAGAGGCGCAAGUGUGAUCAACCAAGACGUCCCCGUAAUUUAAAGCUAAGAAAUGAGAAGAGACUUUUAACUGAGUACAAUCCUUGAACAGAUAUGCUUGGGAAAAACAACCUGGGACAGAAGAUGUGUCAAAAGUAAAAAGAAAUCCGGGAAGCUCCAGCAAAAGGGUGGUGAUGCUAAAACAAGACCUGUUCUCGGAAAGCUGACAAUGGAAAAACAAAACAGCGUUAUUAAGUUUCCAUCUGCUUUGCAUGUUCAAGUAUAUAAAGCGUGCUUUCUUCCAACUUGCAAAGAAUAGUAGUCCGCCUCUCUUGCACUUCCACUUGGUCUGCUUCACUGCACUUAAUUGGCAAGAUUUUGUUUUACACAUAUUUUCAACGAAGAUGAAGAUGAUGAGUAGAUCCUUGUAACCAACCACAGAUGAUCAAGCCAGCAACCGAGAAGCCUUCCUUCAGUACCUGAAUCUUGUACAGCGUCGCCACUGUGAAGACCACUGCCAUUGGCACGGAUUUAAUAUCUCUGCCAACCGAGAGAUGUAUAUGGAGGAGAGGUGCAAGUAUGAUCAGGCAAGACUUGCUCGUAAUUUAAAGCUAAGAAAUGAGAAGACUGUUAACUGGGUACAAUCCUUGAACAAAUAUGCUUCGAAAAUACAACCUGGGAUAGAAGAUGUGUCAAAAGUAAAGAGAAAUUCAGGAAGCUCCAGCAAAAGGGUGGUGAUGCUAAAACAAAACCUGUUCUCGGAAAGCUGAUAAUGGAAAAACAGAACAUGGUUAUAAAGUUAACUGACGUCAAAUUAGUCACUGGAGGAGGUUUUAGCACGUAAUCCAGAUUUUGUACAGCCUUCUCAGCAUUUGAAUGAGGUGCAAAGCUGGAUUAAGAGUACUUAAGAAUUUUCUCUAUUUCACGGGCGUCUUGUGGAUUGGGGUAUCCCUGUGCCUAGCGAUGUAAAUCAAACUAUCUAGUAGCGGUUUGAUGCUUUAUUGGGUGGAUAUUUGCAUGGACACGCCAAGAUAUCCUAUGCCUAACAGUGUAGUUUAGGCUCAUUUUUGGGUGCGUUAUUUAGUUAUACUUCUCUUCUUUGCGGCCUAGAUGUGUAUCACAUUCUCGCAAGAACAAGAAAAACCCACUUUACGACAUUGCACUUAAUUGCGAAGGAUAUCUUGCAAUUUUAUUGGCCAGCUACGUUGAUGUCUGCCGUACUAUGCCUUCCAAACAUGGUUUUUGGCCAUGGACUCGUAACCAAGUUACUGCAGCAGAAGGGAUUGCACUCAAAGACACUUCGGCGAUGAUGAUAGAAGUCCCAACAAAAAAGAUAAUGGAGGGUUUGGAAGACGGUAGGUUUUAUACAACACUUAACUGGAUGAACUAAGUUUUUGUUUCAUACGUCUUGAGUCUACUCUGGGCCAUCGUUUUUUAAGGUGUGAGUCGGAUCCGAUAUUUUGCGCGUUUCGGAGAUAUUACAUCCUCUGUCUUAGUUUGAGGAAAUAGAUUAUAUGCCUACCAAUCACAAUGUUGAUGUUCCCCUGUAGAGAGGUACACAACCACUGUUGUAAAUAGUAAUCGACAAUCAUAUAGAUCCCAUACAGUCCUCUAA